GAUGAACGCUAGCUACAGGCUUAACACAUGCAAGUCGAGGGGUAACGAGAGGAAAGCUUGCUUUCCUUGUCGACGACCGGCGCACGGGUGAGUAACGCGUAUCCAACCUGCCCCCAACUAAGGAAUAACCUUGCGAAAGUAAGACUAAUACCUUAUAAUUUCCUCAGAUGUCAUCUGACGAGGAAUAAAGAUUUAUCGGUUGUGGAUGGGGAUGCGUCUGAUUAGCUUGUUGGCGGGGUAACGGCCCACCAAGGCAACGAUCAGUAGGGGUUCUGAGAGGAAGGUCACCCACAUAGGAACUGAGACACGGUCCAAACUCCUACGGGAGGCAGCAGUGAGGAAUAUUGGUCAAUGGGCGAAAGCCUGAACCAGCCAAGUAGCGUGCAGGAUGACGGCCCUAUGGGUUGUAAACUGCUUUUAUACAGGAAUAAAGUUAGCCACGUGUGGUUAUUUGUAGGUACUGUAUGAAUAAGGACCGGCUAAUUCCGUGCCAGCCGCCGCGGUAA
Molecule: ribosomal RNA, 506 nt
Filed under: uncultured bacterium
Lineage: Bacteria
Description: partial 16S ribosomal RNA
Rfam family: Bacterial small subunit ribosomal RNA
Source: RNAcentral